UACGUAGGGUGCGAGCGUUAAUCGGAAUUACUGGGCGUAAAGCGUGCGCAGGCGGUUAUGUAAGACAGAUGUGAAAUCCCCGGGCUCAACCUGGGACCUGCAUUUGUGACUGCAUAGCUAGAGUACGGUAGAGGGGGAUGGAAUUCCGCGUGUAGCAGUGAAAUGCGCAGAUAUGCGGAGGAACACCGAUGGCGAAGGCAAUCCCCUGGGCCUGCACUGACGCUCAUGCACGAAAGCGUGGGGAGCAAACAGG
This 253-nucleotide ribosomal RNA is filed under the name uncultured bacterium. RNAcentral describes it as "partial 16S ribosomal RNA". It matches the Rfam family "Bacterial small subunit ribosomal RNA", at positions 524 to 776 of the family's 1533-position model. The record is from RNAcentral.